AUGAACAAUUACUCUGAUCUAUGGAUAACUGUAGGAACAUCCACAGCGACCCAAUUAUGGCAGACACCACCAGGAAUAACAAAAUUGUUCAGAUCUUCUGCAUCUUCUUCUUCAAUGAUAGCAGCAGCUUCCUCUUCUGCAGGUUGAUCAGCAUGGAUGAAUCCUCCACUGGUGAACAAACCUUGCUCGUUGCAUGCCCC
RNAcentral lists this long non-coding RNA (200 nucleotides) under Lathyrus oleraceus (garden pea). RNAcentral describes it as "Pisum sativum (pea) long non-coding RNA (PSAT_LNC040790)". Lineage: Eukaryota; Viridiplantae; Streptophyta; Magnoliopsida; Fabales; Fabaceae. The record is from RNAcentral.